RNAcentral lists this signal recognition particle RNA (266 nucleotides) under Conexibacter sp. JD483. Its description in RNAcentral is "signal recognition particle sRNA large type". It matches the Rfam family "Bacterial large signal recognition particle RNA". Rfam says of the family: The signal recognition particle (SRP) is a universally conserved ribonucleoprotein involved in the co-translational targeting of proteins to membranes. Lineage: Bacteria; Bacillati; Actinomycetota; Thermoleophilia; Solirubrobacterales; Conexibacteraceae. RNAcentral also lists the same sequence under 2 other names. The record is from RNAcentral.
CCGUGCUAGGCGGGGCAUUAGCGGCGCCCUGAAUCUGCAAUCCGCUCUAGCAGGGCUGAAUUCCCUUCCGAGGGGCGCAGGCUUUCGAGGCAGCGCGUCGUACGGAGGCGUUGAUGGUCAGGUCCCGCGCGAUGACGGCCCGCGAACCAGGUCAGGUCCGGAAGGAAGCAGCCUUAAACGGUCACCGUCAUGCGUUGCGGGAGUGCCUGUCCGGAGUCCACCGGCGGUAGCGAACUCGAGAACCCGCUUCGAUGGAGGGUGCACGG